This 124-nucleotide microRNA precursor is filed under the name Aegilops tauschii subsp. strangulata. The record is from RNAcentral. Lineage: Eukaryota; Viridiplantae; Streptophyta; Magnoliopsida; Poales; Poaceae.
AGGCCAUCUUCGAUAGCCAAGGAUGAUUUGCCUGUGAAACUCCCUUGGCAGCCGAGCUCUCUGCCACAGAGAGCGGCGUCCGGCGGUUCCAUGGGCAAGUCACCCUGGCUACCCGAGUACCUCU